Trifolium pratense (red clover) is the source of this 2147-nucleotide long non-coding RNA. RefSeq lists it as uncharacterized. The transcript has 4 exons. Lineage: Eukaryota; Viridiplantae; Streptophyta; Magnoliopsida; Fabales; Fabaceae. The record is from RefSeq and is a predicted model, not a curated record.
AAAUCAAUUUCUCUUCAAACUUUUUCUCAGAUAAAUUGUCACUGCUUCACUGAACCCUAAACCAACUUUGCAAAUACCUCACUCAUUGAACCCUAAAUCAAAUUUUCCACACCACCGCUUCACCUCUCUCUCGUACAACUCUUCUCUUCUUCUCCACGGGACACCGAACAUCUCUUCUCUCCCUCUCUCUAUGAGUUCCAAAUCGUCCAAUAAUACUGUGUUGCUGAGGUUUUUCAUCAUCAAAUCGUCCAAACCCACGGCUCCUCGAUUCAAAUCAGUUUCAACAAAGCUCCUUUUCUUCAAAGGUAUUAUUUCCGAAUUCAUACCUAUAACUUCUUUUAUCAUCUCAACAUCACUAUUUCAUUCACAAAUUCAUACCUAUAACUUCACAGGUAAUCGAGUUUUCUUAAUUGGUUGAAUUGAGAUUUCGAAUAAUUGAAUUGAACUCCCACUGAAAUUGAUUUUUUUAUUUAUUUAUUUUAGUAUCUAAAAUGGCCUUUAGAGGUGAAUUUGUGUAAUAAUAAUAGCAGUAUUUGAAAAUACCCUCAUUGUUUUUUUUUUUUUGUAAAUUAUAAUUAUGAUAAACACAGUGUAAGUCUGUAAGUGCUUGGUAGAAUUGGAACUUGAAAUGAAAGAAUCAGGGUUUUUGGUGUAAGUUGUUGACAUGUUUAGGGGGAAUGUAUAAGUUUUCAAAUGUCGACUCAUAUCUCAAUGCGUUUAAGAAGGAAAUGUUAUAAAGUAAUGCAUGUUUGUAGUGUCAACAACUGGGGGACAAAAGAGUAUGAAUAAGUAGAGGUUGCCAAGCUGAGGAAGCAGAGAGUUUUUCUGUUGUUUAUAGCAAUGAGCAGAGAAUUAAAGAAAAUUAUAAUAUUGUUGUUAUGAUUUGUAGGUGUUGAUUUCAAGAUCAAAAGACUCACCGCGUAGGUGGAAAAAGAUUAAAACUUACAAUUUGGGACACAAGUAUGUAUAUACUAUAGUCAGAUUAGAUCUUUCGGUUCAAGAAGAAAAACCAAACUGAACCAUUAGAAUAGUUCGGUAAAACUGAAUCAAUUUGUUAACGGUUAUCCCAAACUGAACUGGUAUAAAGGUUCGGUGCAUCGAUUUUGUGGUUCCAAACCAAACUCCCUUUUUAGAAAAUCGAAUCGUAUUUUUUUCAAAUUGAACUGCUUCUUUGUGAACUGAAUUGAAUUGUUCAUGAACUUAACCAAACCGAAUCGUUUCAGUUCGCUCCAAUUUGUGAACUGUCAGUCACAAUUCAGUUUAUAUGUUUUUAUAACAGUACUGACCUACCAGGUAACAAUGUAAAGAUAGAGGGAAUUAUUGAACAAGUAAUUUGAGUCCCAGUCACACAUUGAAGUUCAUUGAACAAGUAAUUUAUACACAAGAGGGAAUUAUUGUACAAAUAUAUACAAUAAGAAGUUCUCUUACAAAGGUUUGUCUAAUAUUUGUCUCGAUCAAUUAAAAUUUCGUAGAUAGAGUACCAAAUGUUCAUAUUUUUUUGCUCAAAUUUCACGUAUUUCAUGCUCUUGAAUUUAAUAUAAUCAAUCUAGGUACUCAAUUGCUUUGCUCUUUGCAUAGAUUUUUGCAGGUAGAUUGUAUGUUUGAAAUAUCAAUUGACUAAUGGAGAUAGCAUCACUCAUGUAUCGAGUAGGUCUAUAGACUAUAGGUGUAUCAAUUAGCUUAUUUUAUGUUUAUUAAGUUUCUAGUUUUUUAUUUGAAUGAUUAUUUUUGUGUGUAUUGUGUUUAUCCAUUUCAGUUUUAUCUUCUUCAUGAUUUGAUUGAUUCUUCAUGGUUUUUACGAUAUUUGGUGUACUUGAAGAAAGGGAAGUUCGGCUGGAACCUCAAAUCAUACAUCGUGCCAUAUUAGUCAUGAUGAAGUUUUGUAAAAGUCUUCGGAAUCAAGCAUUGUUGUAAGCACUUUUAAGCAGGACGAAGGCCUCGAGUUAACAUUAUGAUGUGGACAUUGCAGCAAGGAGGAAGUGGACGGAACUGAAUGGCACUCCCCCCGCUCCUUCAGAUUUGUUUGUUCACACACACCAACAUCGCAAGAAUAAACUUGAGUGUGGCAGAUGAUAAUGAUGUAUGUCUGAUGAUGAUGAUCAAGUUCAUGAAAAUGAUGUGGCAGAUGAUAAAUUGAUGAUGAUGAU